RNAcentral lists this ribosomal RNA (413 nucleotides) under uncultured Actinomycetes bacterium. RNAcentral's name for it is "bacterial SSU rRNA". It matches the Rfam family "Bacterial small subunit ribosomal RNA", at positions 990 to 1407 of the family's 1533-position model. The record is from RNAcentral. Lineage: Bacteria; Bacillati; Actinomycetota; Actinomycetes.
GCGAAAAGCGGCAGAGAUGUCGUGUCCGCAAGGGCGCUAUACAGGUGCUGCAUGGUUGUCGUCAGCUCGUGUCGUGAGAUGUUGGGUUAAGUCCCGCAACGAGCGCAACCCUCGUUCUGUGUUGCCAGCAUUUAGUUGGGGACUCACAGGAGACUGCCGUGGUUAACACGGAGGAAGGUGGGGAUGACGUCAAAUCAUCAUGCCCCUUAUGUCUUGGGCUGCACGCAUGCUACAAUGGCCGAUACAAAGGGCUGCAAUACCGUGAGGUGGAGCGAAUCCCAUAAAGUCGGUCUCAGUUCGGAUUGAGGUCUGCAACUCGACCUCAUGAAGUCGGAGUUGCUAGUAAUCGUAGAUCAGCAACGCUACGGUGAAUACGUUCCCGGGUCUUGUACACACCGCCCGUCACGUCACGA